RNAcentral lists this unclassified non-coding RNA (240 nucleotides) under soil metagenome. RNAcentral's name for it is "partial contains 5.8S ribosomal RNA, internal transcribed spacer 2, and large subunit ribosomal RNA". The record is from RNAcentral.
AAGACUAUAGACCUGCGGAGUACCUGCGGAGGGAUCAUUACCGAGUUUUCAACUCCCUAACCCUUCUGUGAACCUACCUAUCGUUGCUUCGGCGGACUCGCCCCAGCCCGGACGCGGACUGGACCAGCGGCCCGCCGGGGACCUCAAACUCUUGUAUUCCAGCAUCUUCUGAAUACGCCGCAAGGCAAAACAAAUGAAUCAAAACUUUUAGCAAUGGAUCUCUAGAUCGGAAGAGCACAC